UCUGACAAGAGCGAAAUACAACACUGCAUUGAAGUUCUUUAUGGUUUGAUGGACGAUCUUUUGGAGAAUAAAUGAAAACAGAUAUAUUUUAUUUUGUUGCUAAUCAUUUUCGAGACAAAAAUAAUGGUCAUUGGCUUUUGUGUUUUUUUUAUUAACUCAGCAAAAAUGCUCAAUAAAUUAAAACCCAUGUACUCUCCACAUAUCUCACUCUCUUUCCAUUGGUUAUUUUAUCAGUCGGAGAGUGAGUGUUUAUUUUAAUGGAAUUAACAAAGCAGCAGCAGCAACAACAAAUACCAAAGCACAUACACACAACCACUUGGAAAUUAUGACAUUAUUUUAAGCAGCAGCCAACCGUAGUGUGAAGUAAUAAAGUGAAAUUUUUUUAUUAUACUUUUGGUUUUUUUUCGACAACUACAAAAUUUAAGAUAUUUCAAAAGGUGAGGCGCACCCGAUUUCCUGACUAGGUGUUGUUGUUGGUUGUUUGGUAUCUGUUUUAUUUGAAACACACACAACUGCUGCUUUGGUGCGCACGCGCUUUGUAUGGCAUUGUGACGAUAUAACAGCUGAUCGUAAACACAACAAUCUUUGUCAUUAUCAUCAUUGGAUUGUUGCUGCUGUUGCUGUCAGUCAAUAAAAUCUGAGAACGGGAGCAACAACAACAAGAAGAAACUACAUCAAUAUCUCAGAAAUUUUAAAGG
Musca domestica (house fly) is the source of this 698-nucleotide long non-coding RNA. RefSeq lists it as uncharacterized. The record is from RefSeq and is a predicted model, not a curated record. The transcript is spliced from 3 exons. Lineage: Eukaryota; Metazoa; Arthropoda; Insecta; Diptera; Muscidae.